GGUUGACCUCGGAUCAGGUAGGGCUACCCGCUGAACUUAAGCAUAUCAAUAAGCGGAGGAAAAGAAACCAACAGGG
This 76-nucleotide ribosomal RNA is filed under the name Talaromyces columbiensis. Its description in RNAcentral is "partial 28S ribosomal RNA". It matches the Rfam family "Eukaryotic large subunit ribosomal RNA", at positions 1 to 73 of the family's 3401-position model. The record is from RNAcentral. Lineage: Eukaryota; Fungi; Ascomycota; Eurotiomycetes; Eurotiales; Trichocomaceae.